GGAUGUGAGGGUGACCUGGCUGCAACAUCUGUCACCCCAUUGAUCACCAGGGUUGAUUUGGCUGAUCUGGCUGACUAGGUGGGUAUCCCCUUCCUCCCUCACCGCGCCAAGUGUGUCCCUCCUGAAUAAGUGCACUUGGUGGAAAAGGAUGACCAUCCCCAGGAGAGGAGGACCGGUCUUCAGUCGAGGGUAUUUGAGUAGCUGCACACUCCUGCUAGAGCCUCCAAACAAGCUCUCAGAGUUUUUUCGGUCUUACGUUCAACCCCUCAUUAAAACGUUCAUAGAGAAAACACAUUU
Molecule: small nuclear RNA, 297 nt
Filed under: Cebus imitator (Panamanian white-faced capuchin)
Lineage: Eukaryota; Metazoa; Chordata; Mammalia; Primates; Cebidae
Description: 7SK RNA (ENSCCAG00000015051.1)
Rfam family: 7SK RNA
About the family: 7SK was discovered as an abundant small nuclear RNA in the mid-70s but a possible function has only recently been suggested. Two independent studies have found that 7SK RNA binds the CDK9/cyclin T complex (known as elongation factor P-TEFb).
Source: Rfam by way of RNAcentral